This 253-nucleotide ribosomal RNA is filed under the name uncultured bacterium. RNAcentral describes it as "partial 16S ribosomal RNA". It matches the Rfam family "Bacterial small subunit ribosomal RNA", at positions 524 to 776 of the family's 1533-position model. The record is from RNAcentral.
UACGGGGGGUGCGAGCGUUAAUCGGAAUGACUGGGCGUAAAGCGUGCGUAGGCGGUGUAAUCAGUCAGCCGUGAAAGCCCCGGGCUUAACCUGGGAAUGGCGGUUGAGACGGUUAAACUAGAGUGGGCUAGAGGACUGUGGAACUCCCGGUGUAGCGGUGAAAUGCGUAGAGAUCGGGAAGAACACCGAUGGCGAAGGCAGCAGUCUGGGGCCACACUGACGCUGAGGCACGACGGCGUGGGGAGCAAACAGG